CGUAGUUUACACAGAUGGGUUUUCCUUGUGUUGCGAUAGUGUGGAAGGCCAAGAUGAUUUGGAAAUGGUGGAGAGAAAGAAGCUCGUUCCACCCUUGGAUCCUAUGCUGACUCAUCCCUGAGUCAGCUCUCUGCAGCCUUCAGCCUUCACCCCUUGCAGUGAAACCAGGGAGCUCUCACAGCUGCGUUCAGCAAAGAGGCAGCAUGAGUCCAGAAUUGGAGACCAGUGAAGUCUAUCAGAAAAAUAUAUCUAGAUAAACUUAAUCAUGAGAGAAACCAAGAUGCGGCCAGACAAAGGAGUCUUGCCUAACAUCACAGAGCUGGAGAAUGAAGAACCUGGACUGGAAGGCAAGUCUUCCAUCCCUGCACCCCCCCCCACACCUGCCACGGAUGGGGACUGGUCCAUAGAACCUGGACUGGAAGGCAAGUCUUCCAUCCCUGCACCCCCCCACACCUGCCACGGAUGGCGACUGGUCCAUAGAACCUGGACUGGAAGGCAAGUCUUCUAUCCCUGCAGUCCCCCACGCACCUGCCACGGAUAGGGACUGGUCUAUGGCUUCUUGGGAAUGGGGCCGCGCAGCAGAAAGGAGUG
This is a long non-coding RNA of Nycticebus coucang (slow loris), 591 nucleotides long. RefSeq lists it as uncharacterized. Lineage: Eukaryota; Metazoa; Chordata; Mammalia; Primates; Lorisidae. The transcript is spliced from 4 exons. The record is from RefSeq and is a predicted model, not a curated record.